AGUGAACGCUGGCGGUAGGCCUAACACAUGCAAGUCGAACGGCAGCACAGUAAGAGCUUGCUCUUACGGGUGGCGAGUGGCGGACGGGUGAGGAAUACAUCGGAAUCUACUUUUUCGUGGGGGAUAACGUAGGGAAACUUACGCUAAUACCGCAUACUACCUACGGGUGAAAGCAGGGGAUCUUCGGACCUUGCGCGAUUGAAUGAGCCGAUGUCGGAUUAGCUAGUUGGCGGGGUAAAGGCCCACCAAGGCGACGAUCCGUAGCUGGUCUGAGAGGAUGAUCAGCCACACUGGAACUGAGACACGGUCCAGACUCCUAAGGGAGGCAGCAGUGGGGAAUAUUGGACAAAGGGCGCAAGCCUGAUCCAGCCAUACCGCGUGGGUGAAGAAGGCCUUCGGGUUGUAAAGCCCUUUUGUUGGGAAAGAAAAGCAGCAGGUUAAUACCCCGCUGUUCUGACGGUACCCAAAGAAUAAGCACCGGCUAACUUCGUG
Molecule: ribosomal RNA, 492 nt
Filed under: uncultured bacterium
Lineage: Bacteria
Description: partial 16S ribosomal RNA
Rfam family: Bacterial small subunit ribosomal RNA
Source: RNAcentral